CAGUCGCCACGGUAAUACGAAGGGGGCUAGCGUUGCUCGGAAUGACUGGGCGUAAAGGGCGCGUAGGCGGUUCAGAUAGUUAGAUGUGAAAUUCCCGGGCUUAACCUGGGGACUGCAUUUGAUACUUCUGGGCUUGAGUGUGGAAGAGGGUCGUGGAAUUCCCAGUGUAGAGGUGAAAUUCGUAGAUAUUGGGAAGAACACCGGUGGCGAAGGCGGCGACCUGGUCCAUAACUGACGCUGAGGCGCGAAAGCGUGGGGAGCAAACAGGAUUAGAUACCCGGGUAGUCCCUGUCUCUUAUAC
This 301-nucleotide ribosomal RNA is filed under the name uncultured bacterium. RNAcentral's name for it is "partial 16S ribosomal RNA". It matches the Rfam family "Bacterial small subunit ribosomal RNA", at positions 509 to 807 of the family's 1533-position model. The record is from RNAcentral.